Molecule: long non-coding RNA, 1946 nt
Organism: Pan troglodytes (chimpanzee)
Lineage: Eukaryota; Metazoa; Chordata; Mammalia; Primates; Hominidae
Exons: 3
Source: RefSeq, a predicted model, not a curated record
GGCCAGGCUUCUUGCACAGGACAGCCUGCCCUUCUGGGCUGGCCCUGCUUAUUCUCCACAUAGCUUUCUCAGUUCCUACCUAGAAGUACAGCGUGGAAGAGGACAGCCUGGGUCAUGGGUCUCAGAAGUUUUAAGCAUAUAUGGAAAAUGCGCCCCUGCCAAGAGUGAUUGCCGGGCACCCUUGACUGUGUGUCUUAUCUGUAUUUCAGAGAUGCUAAAAUGAAAAGCUCUAUGGAUAAGCAAAACACAAGACAUAUUGCAAAAAGGCAGGCUUUUGGACUCAGACUGGAACUACACCACUAGCUUUCUUGGGUCUCCAGCUUGCUACUGUAUACCUCUGGAUUUUUCAGCCUUCAUGAGGGCCCAGAAAACCGCAAGAACCUUUUGUUUGGGGCUCCCUUGAUGGUGAGAAGACGGCCACAUCUGUGCAGAGCUGCCUGAACCUGGACUAGGACUCCACUCCAUGGGAAGCGGGGAGCAAGGAGUCACUGCUUCCUCGGCUUGAGUUCUGGCUUCCUGGGCCCAUAGAGGGAGGAAAGGUGUGCCUAUGUUUGUCCUGUUGCUGUAACUGACCACCUGCCCCUGCGGGCUCAGCCCUCUCCAGUUCAGCGAAUCCUAACACCACCAAGCUGUCCUUUCUCUUCUGAUAACUUGGCUAUUCCAAGACGUCGUUUAUCAAAAUUAUGGACUUGCCCAGGUGUAAAUUAGUAGGAAAGCAAGCGUCUAGGUUUACUUCUAAUCUAUUUGUUUUAUAAAACUCGUAGUCUUUUUUUAAGUUCAAAGUACCCUAAAUUAUUUUUUCCUGGUAAAUAUAGUCUCUUGAACAUCUAAAUUUUCUCUCAGAAGGGAAAUCUAAGUGAAGUCAUUAAAUGGAAAUAAAACAAAAAAGAGAGUUCCAGGGAAUAUAAAUAAAUUAAUUAAAAAUUAUUAUUCUGGCUUUAAAGAAAUGAUUCCUCUGACAAAGCUCAUUUAAAUUAAUACUAUUGUUAUUAAUGAGGUCGUUUAUUCAUAAAAUAAAUAUGCUGAAAAUAAAAACAUAACAUUUUGUGUAGUCAAAUUUGAACAAUACAAAUAAAACAAUGAAAUUUGAAGUAUUACUUUCAUUUGUGGCCAGGGAAAGGAUUGACAAUUUAUUGGUAAUAUAAUGCUUCAGUUAAUUUUAUACAAACGGGAUAGCCUGGAGAUUAAAAGCCAGGACUCAAAAAUCAAAGUGCCUCUGUACAAGUCCCAGCUCUGCCCUGUCCUAGCUACGUGAGUUGGAGUCCUCCUACAGCCCACCCCAUCUCUCUGUCUAGAGCACAAAGUCAUUCCGCUUUCCUGGUCAGGUGCGUAUGAGCAAUAGGUUAGUUACAGUUUAUGCAAGUGCUGAAAUCAUUUGUUUAAUAAAUUAACUACUUUAUUUGGAGCAAAAACUUUUUGUCUUUCUGUACAGAGAUGGGAUUCAGGACAGGCUACUCCAAAAUAUGAACCUUGGCAUUUGAGAAAACAGCAAAAGCAAGAAGGUCACUCUCAGCCUUCCCUCACCCUUUCUUCCCUGAAGCAGAUCUUAAAGCCUGAAUUCCAGGGGUGCUGUCCCUGUAGCUGGAGGGAAGGAAUGAAUCUGAACAAACAGGACUUGCUAAGUUCCCCCAAUUUGUUGCCAUCAGAUCCUGCCUUUUUAUCCAAUCAUACUACUCUAUGACUUCUUAAUCAAACCUAGCAUGAAAAAUAUACAGGUUUGUUCAUUUUUUGAGUCUUUCUUUCUGAAGGUUCUGUUUCAUCUAAAACAUGUCAAAUAAACAUGCAUGCUUUUGUCUUGUGAAUCUGUCUUUUGUUAUAGGUGUGUCUGCCAUGAAUCUUGAGGUGGGUGAGGAAUAAAGAUACCUCAUGACAGAAACAUGCUUGAGUCUAGUUUUCUGGUAUUUUGUGUUCUCCAGAGGAGACACUGGGUGCUCCAAAGUCAAGUU